RNAcentral lists this ribosomal RNA (457 nucleotides) under Epidalea calamita (natterjack toad). RNAcentral's name for it is "partial large subunit ribosomal RNA". It matches the Rfam family "Bacterial large subunit ribosomal RNA", at positions 1983 to 2593 of the family's 2925-position model. Lineage: Eukaryota; Metazoa; Chordata; Amphibia; Anura; Bufonidae. The record is from RNAcentral.
UGGACUAGUAUGAAUGGCACCACGAAGGUUAUACUGUCUCCUUUUUCUAAUCAGUGAAACUAAUCUCCCCGUGAAGAAGCGGGGAUAAAAAUAUAAGACGAGAAGACCCUAUGGAGCUUUAAACAAAAUAGCACUUGCCACAUAACAUACGAUUUCCUGAAUUUUUACUUCACCAAGCAAUAUGACUAUAAGUUUUUGGUUGGGGUGACCGCGGAGCACAAUGUAACCUCCACGCUGAAAGAAUCCUAUUCUAAGCCAAGAUCUACGCAUCUAAGCAUCAACACAUUGACAUCCAUUGACCCAAUACAUUUGAGCAACGAACCAAGUUACCCUAGGGAUAACAGCGCAAUCCACUUCAAGAGCCCCUAUCGACAAGUGGGUUUACGACCUCGAUGUUGGAUCAGGGUAUCCUAGUGGUGCAGCCGCUACUAAUGGUUCGUUUGUUCAACGAUUAAAA